GCACUGUCGAGGAGUCCCAGAAUAGGACGAAACGGUUGUCCAGUGC
RNAcentral lists this non-coding RNA (46 nucleotides) under Schistosoma mansoni. Lineage: Eukaryota; Metazoa; Platyhelminthes; Trematoda; Strigeidida; Schistosomatidae. The record is from RNAcentral.